CAGCAGCCGCGGUAAUACCGGCGGCCCGAGUGGCGGUCACUAUUAUUGGGCUUAAAGCGUCCGUAGCCGGGUUGGGAAAUCCUCCGGGAAAUCUGGCCGCUUAACGGUCAGAAUGCCGGAGGAUACUCCCAGCCUAGGGAGCGGGAGAGGCCGAGGGGAUUCCCGGAGUAGGGGGGAAAUCCUAUAAUCCCGGGAGGACCACCUGUGGCGAAGGCGCUCGGCUGGGACGCGUCCGACGGUGAGGGACGAAGGCCAGGGGAGCAAACCGGAUUAGAUACCCGGGUAGUCCUGGCUGUAAACGAUGCGGACUUUGUGUCGGACAAGCUAUGAGCUUGUCCGGUGCCGGAGGGAAACCGUUAAGUCCGCCGCCUGGGGAGUACGGCCGCAAGGCUGAAACUUAAAGGAAUUGGCGGG
Molecule: ribosomal RNA, 414 nt
Filed under: uncultured microorganism
Description: bacterial SSU rRNA
Rfam family: Archaeal small subunit ribosomal RNA
Source: RNAcentral